Molecule: long non-coding RNA, 493 nt
Filed under: Lathyrus oleraceus (garden pea)
Lineage: Eukaryota; Viridiplantae; Streptophyta; Magnoliopsida; Fabales; Fabaceae
Description: Pisum sativum (pea) long non-coding RNA (PSAT_LNC003657)
Source: RNAcentral
GACUUGCUUGUGCUUGUUAUUUAUCUAACAACAUGACAUCAUAACAACAUAACAUCAUAACAUCAUGGCAUUGUACUAACCAUUUCAAGGAUUUAGGGAUUUAACUCUGCUAAAAAAAAAAAAAAAAAAACAAAAACAAAAGCAAAAACAAAAGAGAAAAGAAAAAAAAAAGCUCUUUUUGUUAGUUUAUGCAAAGUUAAAUCCCGAAAGUCCUUGAAAACAUUUCAUACAUUGCAUUGCAUCGCAUAACAGGUAUUCUAAAGGAUCAGUGUUCUCACGAUUUUCCUAUCAAACAGAUUCCAGCAGAUUCAAACAGAUUGAACAAUGGCUCUCGAACAAACUGUCAAAGAUCUCCAGGCCCAGAAUGCUCAAUUCCAGGAAAUGAUGCUGAGCUUAUCUAAGGGGCAGGAAGAACUGAAAGCUCUUUUGAUGGAGAAGAAGAAGGACCAGAAACCUGUGGGUUACAUCAACCCGGGGAGAAGGCUUAAGGGAC